RNAcentral lists this ribosomal RNA (492 nucleotides) under uncultured Massilia sp. Its description in RNAcentral is "bacterial SSU rRNA". It matches the Rfam family "Bacterial small subunit ribosomal RNA", at positions 20 to 507 of the family's 1533-position model. Lineage: Bacteria; Pseudomonadati; Pseudomonadota; Betaproteobacteria; Burkholderiales; Oxalobacteraceae. The record is from RNAcentral.
UGGCUCAGAUUGAACGCUGGCGGCAUGCUUUACACAUGCAAGUCGAACGGUAACAGGGAGCUUGCUCCGCUGACGAGUGGCGAACGGGUGAGUAAUAUAUCGGAACGUACCCAAGAGUGGGGGAUAACGUAGCGAAAGUUACGCUAAUACCGCAUACGAUCCAAGGAUGAAAGCAGGGGAUCUUCGGACCUUGUGCUCCUGGAGCGGCCGAUAUCUGAUUAGCUAGUUGGUGAGGUAAAGGCUCACCAAGGCGACGAUCAGUAGCUGGUCUGAGAGGACGACCAGCCACACUGGAACUGAGGCACGGUCCAGACUCCUACGGGAGGCAGCAGUGGGGAAUUUUGGACAAUGGGCGCAAGCCUGAUCCAGCAAUGCCGCGUGAGUGAAGAAGGCCUUCGGGUUGUAAAGCUCUUUUGUCAGGGAAGAAACGGGAGUGGCUAAUAUCCAUUCUUAAUGACGGUACCUGAAGAAUAAGCACCGGCUAACUAUGUG